Molecule: ribosomal RNA, 830 nt
Filed under: uncultured archaeon
Lineage: Archaea
Description: bacterial SSU rRNA
Rfam family: Archaeal small subunit ribosomal RNA
Source: RNAcentral
AGGCCACUGCUAUCGGAGUUCGAUUAAGCCAUGCGAGUCGAGAGGUGCAAGACCUCGGCAUACUGCUCAGUAACACGUGGACAACCUACCCUAAGGAGGGGGAUAACCCCGGGAAACUGGGGAUAAUACCCCAUAGACUAUGGAAGCUGGAAUGCUCUGUAGCCGAAAGGUCAGCCGCCUUAGGAUGGGUCUGCGGCCGAUUAGGUUGUUGUUGGGGUAACGGCCCAACAAGCCUGUAAUCGGUACGGGUUGUGGGAGCAAGAGCCCGGAGAUGGAUUCUGAGACACGAAUCCAGGCCCUACGGGGCGCAGCAGGCGCGAAAACUUUACAAUGCGAGCAAUCGUGAUAAGGGAACUCCGAGUGCCUGUAAAAUCAGGCUGUCCGCCAGUGUAAAUAACUGGUGAAGAAAGGGCCGGGCAAGACCGGUGCCAGCCGCCGCGGUAAUACCGGCGGCUCGAGUGGUGGCCACUAUUACUGGGCUUAAAGCGUUCGUAGCUGGUCUGUUAAGUCUCUGGGGAAAUCUUCCGGCUUAACCGGAAGGCGUCUCAGGGAUACUGGCAGACUAGGGACCGGAAGAGGUGAGAGGUACUUCAGGGGUAGGAGUGAAAUCCUGUAAUCCUUGAGGGACCACCUGUGGCGAAGGCGUCUCACCAGGACGGCUCCGACAGUGAGGAACGAAAGCUGGGGGAGCAAACCGGAUUAGAUACCCGGGUAGUCCCAGCUGUAAACGAUGCACGUUAGGUGUAUCGGUGACCACGAGUCACCGAGGUGCCGAAGAGAAAUCGUGAAACGUGCCGCCUGGGAAGUACGGUCGCAAGGCUGAAACUUAA